GGAAUAAAUAGAUAGUUGAGUAGUCUGAUUGGAUAUAAAUAUGUGAUAGAGGUAAUGAUUGUAGUGCUGUGCAGUGGCGUGUUGGCGUAGCCGGACAGCACGAUAGCGCCACUGACAGCGCAGGUGUGGGCCGCGUGCUCCCGGGGACUGAGCACUCAAACAGCCUGUGCGUGUGAGGGAGGCCAGGAACGCGGCUGCUAACUCGGGAAAUCUCAAGCCCCCAUGCAGACGAGGAAGUCACACCCUUGCGCUGGAUGUAGUGUCGUACCCGAGGGACGGACUCUUACGUUUCCACAUCUUCUGGCCACCUCAAGCACGUGUCUGCCUCCAUCCUCCUCCAGGACCUGUCCUCUUCGAUGGACGUCAUCUCUUCAAUUUGCUCACUUUGGGACUGAGGACAUUCCUCUUUUAGCGGACCACUGACGAGAUGUUUGUGUACGGAUUCCUGACAACGUUGCUGUUCUUUCUUAGCUUAUGUGAUUCAAAACGUCCAAUGCCUUCACUUUCCUAUGAAGAUCAGCUUGUGAAAGAAAUCCUACACAAAUACCGCGUGCGAGGCAAAUAUGGCCGUCCAGUCCGGCGUUUCAAUGACACCCUGAAGGUUGCUUUUGGAAUACAAUUGAUACAGAUCAUGGAUUUGAAUGAGAAAGACCAGAUACUGACUUUGAACGUAUGGGAUCAGUAUGGAUGGAGAGAUGACGAUGUUGAAUGGAACAUGACAAAAUAUGGAGGCGUGGAUAAAGUCCGCAUUCCCUGGAGCAAGGUUUGGUUGCCCGACAUCAAACUGUACAACUAUGCUGACCAUCGCCUGGACGAGCAGCGCAAGUCCCUGUGUGUGUUCCACCACGAUGGCCAGAUACUGUGGAUGCCCCAGGCUGUGUACCGCAGUUCCUGCCAAAUUGACGUGACCAAAUUUCCAUUCGAUGUACAAUCUUGUCAUUUGAAAUUUGGGUCGUGGACCUACAAUGGACAUAAGAUAGAUGUGGUUUUCUUUGCCAAUAAAGACUACAUAGAUCUCACUGAGUACGUGACUAGUAACGCCUGGAAGAUCAUCGAUGUGCCUGCUAAUAAAAACAUCAAGUACUACAGCUGCUGCCCUGAGCCUUAUGUGGACCUGACCUUCAGUUUGAUCUUCCAGAGACGAGCCACCCUGUAUAACUACAUCCUGAUCCUGCCGUGUGUCCUUCUCACCUCCAUCACCCUCAUCCUCUUCUGGAUUCCCCCAGAAUCACCCGCAAAGAUGCAACUUGGUCUUACCAUCUUCAUAGCCUUUUUCAUCCUGCUGAAACUUUUGGAGAAAAAUUUGCCACCCGGUACAACGAAAAUGCCGGUACUAGGUAUCUACUACUGCCUCAACAUGGUGAUCAUUACUCUGUCCUCCUUCCUCAACGUUCUGGUGGUCAACCUUGCAGCAUAUGGUCAGCGUGCUAACCUUCCCGCCCCUGCAAAAUCUGUACUGUUUGACGUGUGUGCAAAGGUCCUCCUGAUGAACGAUCUAGUGCGGCCCUUCAAACCGGAUUCCUCCAAACCAGCGACAAUCGUGAAAGACAAACUGGGAGAAAUUGACAACAAGUGGAGCGAUGAUCCAAUGGCGUCGACGGAGGUUCUCGUGCACCUGCAGAAAGAAUCCAAUCUAGCUCCGCCCCCGGGGCCACCCGUGGACAACACGUUACGUCAAUCAACGGGACUCUUGGUCGCCAUUGACACAAAACUAUCGGACUUGCGCGACUUCAUACAGGGGCACAAGCAGCGCCUUUCCGACAAGGACAAGCGGGAGCGCCUCGUGAAAGAAUGGAAGGCUAUUGCCCUCAUUCUGGACAGAAUCUUCUUUGUUAUAUACUUUGGCAUUAUCGUUGCAUCACUUGCUGUCAUCAUUCCAAUCAUCACCUUCAGUGGCCAGUACACGAACACGACACUGGCAGAGGCUUUGCCACAUACGUGAGAAUCGUUGUCUCUGAAUUCUUUCUGAAAACAUUUCCACCAGAUGCCAAAUUGCUUCAUGGUUUUGUCUAAAAUGUUAAGGUGGAUAACAUGAUGUUUACGAACUCUUCCAAACAUAAUGACAAUAGUUAGAUAUGCAUAUAUAUUUAUGUAGCGGUAUCAUUAUGUAAAAGAUCGUUUAUGCAUAAAAAUAACUCAUGCAUCAUUGAAACAUCUUUAUAUACACCAGUGCGUUCGUUAUGUAUUGUCUUUAAGCAAGCAAACGCUUGAGAAUGAGGUGAUAAAAGUUGACAUUUUAAGGUAAGGUGAUACGUUGAUCCACAAUGUAUAGAGAGACAUGUAUUUAAAAAUGGUGCACAAGAACAUUGGUUUUGAAGAAAUUCAUAAAUAGGUAUCCAAGAUGUGCCUACCAUUGUGCCAGUCUUAACGUCAGGCAACUGGAAGGACAUAGUCACUUGAUUCGAUCCUAAGAUUCUAUUUAAGCAUGAUCAAAGAUAACCACAGGCACAGACAGAUGGACACAACUGCAUAUGUGACAUAGCUGGUAACUAUACAACCUAUAUGACAACACCACACGGCCAGGCACGCGCACAGGCACAGGAAGAUGGACGAACCAAUAUCUCCGAUACGUUGUGUUGUGAUCUCGACAAGCUAUAUGACAACACCACACGCCCAGGAACAGGAAGAUGGACGAAGCAAUGUCCCUUCUAUGUUGUGUUGCGAUCUCUACAAGUUCUAUGACAACACCACACUCACAGGCACAGGAAGAUGGACGAAGCAAUGUCCCUUCUAUGUUGUGUUGUGAUCACUACAAGCUCUACGACAACACCACACUCACAGGCACAGGAAGAUGGACGAAUAAAUAUCCCUUCUAUGUUGUGUUGUGAUCACUACAAGCUCUACGACAACACCACACUCACAGGCACAGGAAGAUGGACGAAUAAAUAUCCCUUCUAUGUUGUGUUGUGAUCUCUACAAGUUCUAUGACAACACCACACUCACAGGCACAGGAAGAUGGACGAAGCAAUGUCCCUUCUAUGUUGUGUUGUGAUCACUACAAGCUCUACGACAACACCACACUCACAGGCACAGGAAGAUGGACGAAUAAAUAUCCCUUCUAUGUUGUGUUGUGAUCUCUACAAGUUCUACGACAACACCACACUCACAGGCACUGGACGAUGGACGAAUAAAUAUCCCUUCUAUGUUGUGUUGCGAUCACUACAAGCUCUAUUACAACACCACACUCACAGGCACAGGAAGAUGGACGAAUAAAUAUCCCUUCUAUGUUGUGUUGUGAUCACUACAAGCUCUACGACAACACCACACUCACAGGCACAGGACGAUGGACGAAGCAAUGUCCCUUCUAUGUUGUGUUGUGAUCACUACAAGCUCUACGACAACACCACACUCACAGGCACAGGACGAUGGACGAAGCAAUGUCCCUUCUAUGUUGUGUUGCGAUCUCUACAAGUUCUAUGACAACACCACACUCACAGGCACAGGACGAUGGACGAAUAAAUAUCCCUUCUAUGUUGUGUUGUGAUCUCUACAAGUUCUAUGACAACACCACACUCACAGGCACAGGAAGAUGGACGAAGCAAUGUCCCUUCUAUGUUGUGUUGUGAUCACUACAAGCUCUACGACAACACCACACUCACAGGCACAGGAAGAUGGACGAAGCAAUGUCCCUUCUAUGUUGUGUUGUGAUCACUACAAGCUCUACGACAACACCACACUCACAGGCACGGGAAGAUGGACGAAUAAAUAUCCCUUCUAUGUUGUGUUGUGAUCUCUACAAGUUCUACGACAACACCACACUCACAGGCACAGGACGAUGGACGAAUAAAUAUCCCUUCUAUGUUGUGUUGCGAUCACUACAAGCUCUAUUACAACACCACACUCACAGGCACAGGAAGAUGGACGAAUAAAUAUCCCUUCUAUGUUGUGUUGUGAUCACUACAAGCUCUACGACAACACCACACUCACAGGCACAGGACGAUGGACGAAGCAAUGUCCCUUCUAUGUUGUGUUGUGAUCACUACAAGCUCUACGACAACACCACACUCACAGGCACAGGACGAUGGACGAAGCAAUGUCCCUUCUAUGUUGUGUUGCGAUCUCUACAAGUUCUAUGACAACACCACACUCACAGGCACAGGACGAUGGACGAAGCAAUGUCCCUUCUAUGUUGUGUUGUGAUCACUACAAGCUCUACGACAACACCACACUCACAGGCACAGGACGAUGGACGAAGCAAUGUCCCUUCUAUGUUGUGUUGCGAUCUCUACAAGUUCUAUGACAACACCACACUCACAGGCACAGGACGAUGGACGAAGCAGUGUCCCUUCUGUGUUGUGUUGCGAUCACUACAAGCUCUACGACAACACCACACUCACAGGCACAGGACGAUGGACGAAGCAGUAUUCUCAAAACCACACACCCAGACACAGGAAGAUUGACUUACCUAUAUCCCCGAUACGCUGCGUUGUGAUCUACACAAGCCAACACCACAGGCACAGACAUAUGGACACACCCACAUCUACGAACAAUGUACUGUUGUCUGUACAUUCAAACUACAUGCGACAGGCACAGGCAGAUGGAGUUAUAGACCUCGGCACCUAUACAAUACAGGCUUUUUGAUAACUGAUGGACACCCUGCAGUAUCUACCGUAACCAAUGUGCAUUAUCCAGAACCGAAGCUGAAAGGGUUGGGAAGGGAUAUGGGUCCUUCCCUCUUCUAAUCGCAAGACCGGGUAUAAUACGGGGCCUGCUACUUCUACUGAUCAACUUUUUAUAAGUGAAUUAUAAUAACAUUUUUUUACAAAUGACGUUUUUCCAUUUUAGUUAGCCAUAUUCUUGUCAUCAAAUUGAUUGUGUGCCAUAACUUUUCCGUGGAGUCUUUUACAUAUUCUAGCAACUAGAUAAAGAACAUUACGUUUACUAAUUCUUUCUUCGGACACUCUUACAUAUUACUUAUAACUUAGUGGGUGAUGUAGAUAAAUCUAACAUUAUAACACUUUAUAGCUUAAUGUGAAACGCCCUAAAUCUGGACAGUAGCAUUCUCAGGGAGUCGUCCAGUUAAAUAAUUGUUCGAGUUUGUCCGAAUCAUGGCAAUCAGUGUAUACAUGUAAGCGCACCAAGUAGUUACCAUCCGGGGUGUGGGGUUUUGGUAUCGACAGGGUCCAGAUUACUGAGGUUUAUGGUGAUAGAAGUAGCCCAAGGGUAAUGAUUUCAAUGGGUACAAUAUCAAUUCUGAUGUUAGCGUUGAUACAACGCUGUAGAUGUAUUAUUGCCUGACAUUGAUGUAAGUGUUUAUACAAGGAUGUAGAUGUGUUAUCGCUUGACACUGAUAUGUGUAUUUCAUAGGGAGGGGCCAUCUGAUGUUGGCCUUGACAUCAUAUAUUACACGGGGGAUGGAAAUAACAUGGCACUUUGAUGUAGUAUACGGUAUUUUGUGUUCAUAGAACAUUAAUAAUCAGUUUAUCAUUUAAGCACCUAUAUAAGUCACAUGGACCCAGGGCACUUUGCCCCUGAGGAUAUGAAUAAAACAAGGCCCUGCACACAGUAAUUGGUCAGCUCUAGAACAAUAAGACAAACACUCUGUAAACUUGACAAUUGCAGAUCUUGGGGCUCUGUGUAUAUUAACUGGUCAGCUCUAGAUCACAAGUCAAACAUACUGGACAAAUCUGAGCCGUGUAAUUCUUCGGACAGUCUUCGGACAGUCUUCGGACAGUUUUCGGACAAUCUUCGGACAGAGAACUGUCACCCUGACAUUUGUUCAAGGAGACGGGACCGGUCAGCAGAUGGUUCCGAUGUGUAAACACAGUUCAGUUGCGAUUCCAUAUCUACGACGAGGCCGUGUUUCUUAUUAUGGAACUGUGUAUAUUGAUGGUAUAACCUCUCUCUAAGCUGCUAUUCAGUUAUUCAACAUUCUACGUUAAAUGUCUGUAUGUACGCUUUAUUCCUUGGAGACAAGCAAUUGAGAUAUACAGCGCGAAAUUCUUUGUUUCCGCUAGAACAGUAAAUCAUGUGCUUCAACAUUCCUAGAUUUCUUUCCGAUAAGUUCCGAUGUUUUAGUUAUUCAUUUGCCGAGCAUACCGUAUUGCAGUCUGUCAUACUUAGCUGCCACUGUGCCUCAACGCCCACCCACACCACCUCCACCCACCCCUUCUCCACGCACCCACAACGCCCACCAUCCCCUCUCAACGCACCCACACCACCCAGUCAGCCCGGUCAGUCUUUCUCAGUAACAAUUUUAUGAUGCGGUCGUUCUUAUCCGUUGCCAUAUCUUACAUCACUCUUAGCGACGUUAGGGUCCUUAUCACACAUAUCUCUGUCCGACCUCUUUGGGUCCUCAUCACACAUCACUCUGUCCGACAUCUGUGAAUCCUUAUCACACAUCACUCUGUCCGACAUCUGUGAGUCCUUAUCACACAUCACUCUGUCCGACAUCUGCGGUAUCUGUGACACAUCAGCGGGUUCAUGUCACACAUCACUUAGUCCAACAUCUGCGGGUUUAUAUCACACAUCACUCUGACCGACAUGUGUUGGUUCAUUUCAUACAUUACUUUACCUGACAACUGAGGGUUACAAUUACACAUCACGUUUCCAAACAUCUGCGGUUCAAAUCAUACAUUACACUCUCCGUCAUUUGCGGAUUCAUAUCAAACAUCAAUUUACCCGACAUCUGCGGGGUUCAUAACACACAUUGCUUUACCCGACAUCUGCGGGUGCAUAUCACACAUUGCUUUAUCCGACAUCUUCGGGUUCAGAUCACACAUUACUUUACCCGACAUCUGCGGGUGCAUAUCUCACAUUACUUUACCCAUUAUCUGCGGGUUCAUAUGACACAUCGCUUUACCCGACAUCUGCGGGUUCAUAUCACACAUUGCUUUACCCGACAUCGGCGGAUUCAUAUCCUACAUUGCUUUACCCGACAUCUGUGGGUUUAUAUCACACAUCGCUUUACCCGACAUCGGCGGGUUCAUAUCACACAUUACGUUACCCAUUAUCUGCGGGUUCAUAUCCUACAUUGCUUUAACCGACAUCUGCGGGUUCAUAUCCUACAUUGCUUUAACCGACAUCUGCGGGUUCAUAUCACACAUUGCUUUAACCGACAUCUGCGGGUUCAUAUCACACAUUGCUUUUACCGACAUCUGUGGGUUUAUUUCACACAUUGCUUUACCCGACAUCUCAGGGUUUAUUUCACAUAUUGCUCUACCCGACAUCUGCGGGUUCAUAUCACACAUUGCUUUACCCGACAUCUGCGGGUUCAUAUAACACAUUGCUUUACCCAUCAUCUGCGGGUUCAUAUCACACAUUGCUUUACCCGACAACUGCGGGUUCAUAUCACAUAUUGCUUUACCCGACCUAUGUGGGUUCAUAUCACAAGUAACUCUGUCCGUCAUCUGCGGGUUCAUAUCACACCCGUCCUUCGUUACCAUGUCAUACAAAUCUUCAUUAUCCGUCCUUUUCAGCAUAAUAUCGCAAUACAAUAUCACGCAUAUCACACAAUCCACUAUCACACAUCCCACACAUUAAGAUAUCACACAUCCCACACGUUACAAUAUCCCACAUCCCACACAAAACAAUGUCACACAUCACACUCAGUACAAUAUCACAUAUAUCACACAAUACACGUUACCAUGUGAAAGAUUAAACACAAUACCACGACGACGAGAUAUGUUAGCCCGUGGAUAUUUCAACUGUUAAUACAAAUAGUACUCCAACACAAUUCCCCCCAUCAUCAAAUCUGUAUCACGUAAAACUCCGCAGUAUACCUGACAUUUACCACGACACCAUAUCCUGACCCAUGACACCCUGUCGUAUGAUAUAAUUUGGACGCCAGACAACCUGUACUCUACUACCAUAUGUCACAACACAAUGCGCCGUGUGCAAUGUAAAACCCAAGACACCCUGUGUUGAACUGCCGAACACCACAACACACCCUGCUUUAUGCAAUAUUUAGUCUCAAGACAACCUAUUUUACACACGGACCCCUGUCGUACACUAUUAUCCGGACAAUGCGCCCUUUCCUACACCAUCCUUAUGGCAGACACUAUUGUAUGCUGUCAUAUGUCACAAGUCACCCGGUCAUCACCAUUGCAAGACAUCCUGCCCAAUACUACCAUGUGCCUCAAAACGCCAUGUCCUAUACUUUGCUGUAUACUAUCAUUUAACUGAAGACACCCUGUCCUGAUCUGUCUUGUGUCACAACACACCCUGUCCUACUCGACUAUGUGGCUCGAUUCACUUUGUCCUAUAACCCAUGUCUGUAUGCAUGUCACUCGGAGCACUUUACCACCAACACUUGCCAAAGAUCACAUUAUUGCUGAUUAUGUAUCAUACUUGCAAAACAGUUAUUAAAUGGUGCUAGAUCUA
RNAcentral lists this unclassified non-coding RNA (8322 nucleotides) under Haliotis rufescens (red abalone). RNAcentral describes it as "neuronal acetylcholine receptor subunit alpha-10- like, transcript variant X1". Lineage: Eukaryota; Metazoa; Mollusca; Gastropoda; Lepetellida; Haliotidae. The record is from RNAcentral.